CCUACGGGCGGCAGCAGUCGGGAAUUUUGGGCAAUGGGCGAAAGCCUGACCCAGCAACGCCGCGUGAAGGAUGAAGUUUUUCGGAAUGUAAACUUCAUAAGAAUGGGACGAAUAACGGUGGGCUAACACCUCACCGGAUGACGGUACCAUUUGUAAGCCCCGGCUAACUCCGUGCCAGCAGCCGCGGUAAUACGGGGGGGGCAAGCGUUGUUCGGAUUUACUGGGCGUAAAGGGCGCGUAGGCGGCGCAACAAGUCACUUGUGAAAUCUCCGGGCUUAACUCGGAGCGGCCAAGUGAUACUGUCGUGCUAGAGUGCGGAAGGGGCUACUGGAAUUCUCGGUGUAGCGGUGAAAUGCGUAGAUAUCGAGAGGAACACCUGUGGCGAAGGCGGGUAGCUGGGCCGACACUGACGCUGAGGCGCGAAAGCUAGGGGAGCGAAC
RNAcentral lists this ribosomal RNA (440 nucleotides) under uncultured bacterium. RNAcentral describes it as "bacterial SSU rRNA". It matches the Rfam family "Bacterial small subunit ribosomal RNA", at positions 338 to 773 of the family's 1533-position model. The record is from RNAcentral.